Molecule: ribosomal RNA, 403 nt
Filed under: bacterium
Lineage: Bacteria
Description: partial 16S ribosomal RNA
Rfam family: Bacterial small subunit ribosomal RNA
Source: RNAcentral
UGGGGAAUAUUGCACAAUGGGGGAAACCCUGAUGCAGCGACGCCGCGUGAACGAAGAAGGUAUUCGUAUCGUAAAGUUCUGUCCUAUGGGAAGAUAAUGACAGUACCAUAGAAGAAAGCUCCGGCUAAAUACGUGCCAGCAGCCGCGGUAAUACGUAUGGAGCGAGCGUUGUCCGGAAUUAUUGGGCGUAAAGGGUACGCAGGCGGUUUAAUAAGUCGAAUGUUAAAGAUCGGGGCUCAACCCCGUAAAGCAUUGGAAACUGAUAAACUUGAGUAGUGGAGAGGAAAGUGGAAUCCCUAGUGUAGUGGUGAAAUACGUAGAUAUUAGGAGGAAUACCAGUAGCGAAGGCGACUUUCUGGACACAAACUGACGCUGAGGUACGAAAGCGUGGGGAGCAAACAGG